GACGAACCGUGCGAACGUUAUUCGGAAUCACUGGGCUUAAAGCGCGUGUAGGCGGAUUGGAACGUCGGUGCCUGAAAUCCCCCGGCUCAACCGGGGAACGCGGCCCGAAACGACCAGUCUCGAGGGGUGUAGGGGGAACUGGAACUUCCGGUGGAGCGGUGAAAUGCGUUGAGAUCGGAAGGAACGCCCGUGGCGAAAGCGAGUUCCUGGACGCCUGCUGACGCUGAGACGCGAAAGCUAGGGGAGCGAACGGG
RNAcentral lists this ribosomal RNA (254 nucleotides) under uncultured bacterium. RNAcentral describes it as "partial 16S ribosomal RNA". It matches the Rfam family "Bacterial small subunit ribosomal RNA", at positions 524 to 776 of the family's 1533-position model. The record is from RNAcentral.